Molecule: unclassified non-coding RNA, 253 nt
Filed under: uncultured Alphaproteobacteria bacterium
Lineage: Bacteria; Pseudomonadati; Pseudomonadota; Alphaproteobacteria
Description: contains 16S-23S intergenic spacer region
Rfam family: Bacterial small subunit ribosomal RNA
Source: RNAcentral
GACAGAGGGACCUAGCGUUGUUCGGAAUGACUGGGCGUAAAGGGUGCGUAGGUGGUUAUAUAAGUAGAGUGUAAAAGCCCUAGGCUUAACCUAGGAACCGCAUUCUAUACUGGAUAACUCGAGUGUGGGAGAGGAAAGUGGAAUUCCUAGUGUAGAGGUGGAAUUCGUAGAUAUUAGGAGGAACACCAGAGGCGAAGGCGACUUUCUGGCCCACAACUGACACUGAGGCACGAAAGCGUGGGGAGCAAACAGG